Molecule: regulatory RNA element, 67 nt
Organism: Rhizobium tibeticum
Lineage: Bacteria; Pseudomonadati; Pseudomonadota; Alphaproteobacteria; Hyphomicrobiales; Rhizobiaceae
Rfam family: S-element
About the family: This family represents a group of S-elements from p42d and related plasmids. The S-element has multiple functions and is believed to act as a negative regulator of repC transcription, be required for efficient replication and act as a translational enhancer of repC.
Source: Rfam
AGUCAAGAGUCUUUGGCACCGUUUCGGUGAGCAAAUUUCUUUUGCCUGAUCGAAGGUGAAGGAAAUG